This is a long non-coding RNA of Physeter macrocephalus (sperm whale), 3506 nucleotides long. RefSeq lists it as uncharacterized. The record is from RefSeq and is a predicted model, not a curated record. The transcript is spliced from 14 exons. NCBI's taxonomy places the organism in Eukaryota, Metazoa, Chordata, Mammalia, Artiodactyla, Physeteridae.
UUGCGGAGCACAGGCUCCGGACGCGCAGGCUCAGCGGCCAUGGCUCACGGGCCCAGCCGCUCCGCGGCAUGUGGGAUCUUCCCGGACCGGGGCAUGAACCCCGGUCCCCUGCAUCGGCAGGCGGACUCUCAACCACUGCGCCACCAGGGAAGCCCAACUAUAGUUUAUUGAAAGCUUCCUGUUGCUCGGCAUCAGGCUAAGCAUGGCAUAUACUUACACUCUUUCUCCUCCACAACAACAUUAUACAGGCAAAUACUAUUAGUAUCAUUAUUAUUUCCGUAGAUGGAGGCACAGAGUGAUUAAGUGACUAGCUUGUCACCUUAAAGGUAGAAAGUGACAGAGCUGGGAUUUUUACCAGAUCUUGGGCCCUUAAUCACUGCCAUGUACUACUGAUGAGCAUUCAUCUUUCACUGUUCUUUUCUGUACCGUGCAAGCUACUAUUACUUUUAUAAUAAGAUAAUAACAAACACUUAAGGGGGGAGAAAAUUGUUCAAGACUUCUUAUUUGAAGGGAACCACUACUGCAAGGAGCUCAGACCCAGGCCUCCCAAUGGGGUUCAUUAUACCCACUACAGUCACUGCCACAUUUCCAUGUCUAGAUCUUUCUAAAUGCAAGAUGAGAUAGUACUUCUAAGGAAUUGCUUUGGGACCUUUGCACAAAGUUUCCUAUUGACAAAUGCACCGCACAUGGGGAGGGCACCCUUCACAACAUAGGUCCUGGGUUGUCCUGGGUGGUGUGCUUGCAGUAGUUUCUCUCUGGCUGUCUCUCUCUCAGAAUCAUUAAUCAUGACUUUACUAUCCAUACCUUCUACAUAAAUAAGCCCUACCCUUCCUCCUAGGCCCACUCCUCAAGCUCCCUUUCCUCCUUAGCUCACCUCCCCUCAUUCUAGGGGAGUCCCUACCGGCUUUGGCAUUAUCCACCUGUGCUCCAGCCUCCUGGAGAACAGUGUCACCUUCGGUCCACAGAUGACCCAGACAGUGAUCCAGGCAGCCAGGGAGCUGGAAGCAGAAGAAAAGACGCACUGCCACUCUCUUACCUGCUCUUUCAGGUCCUAGCUGCCUAGAAGAUGCAAUUCCACUGAGUAAUAGUGCCAGGUUGGGGCAGCUGGGUUGGAUCUUAAGACUCCGGGCCUUUGUACAUGCUGUCCCUCUGCCUGGCUAACUCCUCAGCGCCCUUCAAGAUUCAACUUAGUAACCCCUCCUCAAGAAGGCAAUCCUCACUGAUGCUUGCCACCCUCCUCAGCGGCUGGAGUGAAGAGCCACUCCUGGGGCUCCUUCCACUUCUUGGGUUUCUACCCACCUGAACUCCAAAUAAGCAGAAUUCAUUAACAAGUGGGAAUGGGGAGAUCAAAUGCUCAGAUUUAAAAAAAAAAAAAAAGCCUCUCCUAAGGACUUUUUAAGUGGAUUCAGCUGCUCUCACCUGAUAACUACUAUCUGCUCUGGCACUUUCUACUCUGGGCUAUGACAAGUCACACCAGCCAUAUGAGCUCACAUGUCACCUGUGUGACCCUGGAAAGGAAGGUGGGGACACCUUUAUAAAACAAUGGGCCCAGGAUGGGAAAGCAAAGGGAAUGGGCAGCUGGCCAAGCUAAACAGCUCUUCUAUUUUUGACUGUGUGCUUGCAGCAGAAAGUAGUCUAAAGAAGUUGUAACUAUUGCCCAGUGAUUGGCUUACAAGCAGCUGAGAAGUGGAGUUCACUGUUGUGAUUAUAUUUAAAGAAACUAUUUGAAAUAAUAAACUUCCUUUUUCUCUUGUGAUUGAAUCUAUGGUGGUAAUAAAAAAAAUAAAGAACAGCUGUGCAGAGGGGUAACCAUGACUCCAAAACUUCUAGCCAACUUUGGAUAACAGCAAAGACCUGAAAUGCAAAAAAUGGAAAUCUCCUUUGGAGCAAACAUUCUGGUCAGCUUCAUCCCAAACCUUGAGGUCUCCAGUGUGUUGCUCAGGAACGCUUGACACCAUCUCAGAAUCCAAAGUGGACAUAUUUAUAGUGUGUCCCGACUUUGAAAGGAGUUAAGAGCAGAGAGCUGAAAAUAGUUGGUCUGGAUGGGGAAUGAAAAUCAAAUGUUCUCUUACUCUGAAGGGCGUGAUGAACGAAGAUUCAUAAUGUAAGAUGCCAUGUAGCACUCUGAGAAAAGAUGAUGCCUACAUUUUUAGCUUAAUUUAAGGGAAGAUGGCCCUGAACCCAGCACUGGAGAUACAGCAGUGAACAAAACAGCAACCCCGGCCCCAGGAAUUUUACGUUCUCUGAGGGGAGACAGGAAAUAACAAAUAAGAUGUUGUCUUGCGCCCAGGGCAGCUGUGAGUAUGUGAAUGCCUCAUCAGUGACUGUGGACACCGCCCAAAUGGCAAUCAGCACAGAAACCUUAUAAAAUUACCAACAGAUUACUGCUUCUGUCUGCCAGCACUUUCAAUGCCAGCCAGCCUGGGGGCUUGUUUUGUUUUGGGUUUUUUUGGUUUUGUUUUUUUUUCUACUGGAAUACGUUGUGAUUUAGAGAUCUCCGAAGAAUCCCUGCUUCUGUGAGGCCACCUAAACCAUGACCCCAUAAAAUGAAAAUGGAUACCACUGUGGCCAUACAGGUCUGCAUCGUACAAUUCAAGGAGACCGUUCACAUCAUGACUGAGCAGCAAGACAGUCUGUCUAUAACAGGAGGAGGGGUGAGGAACCUGAGGCCCGGAGAGUUACAUCUGUAGGGCUUCCCUGCUGGCACAGCGGUGAAGAAUCUGCCGGCCAAUGCAGGGGACAUGGGUUUGAGCCCUGGUCUGGGAAGAUCUCACAUGCCACGGAGCAACUAAGCCCGUGUGCCACAACUACUGAAGUCCGCUCACCUAGAGCCCGUGUUCCACAGCAAGAGAAGCCACUGCAAUGAGAAACACAGUCACCGCAGCAAAGAGUAGCCCCCACUCGCCACAACUAGAGAAAGCGCACGCACAGCAACUAAGACCCAACACAGCCAAAAAUAAGGACUUCCCUGGUGGCGCAGUGGUUAAGAAUCCACCUGCCAAUGCAGGGGACAUGAGUUCGAGCGCUGGUCCGGGAAGAUCCCACAUGCCGAGGAGCAGCUAAUACCUUGUGCCACAACUACUGAGACUGCGCUCUAGAACCCACGAGCCACAACUACUGAAGCCCGUGCGCCUAGAGCCCGUGCUCCGCCACAAGAGAAGCCACUGCAAUGAGAAGCCUGUGCACCGCAACGAAGAGUAACCCCCUCUCGCCGCAGCUAGAGAAAGCCUGCACGUGGCAACGAAGACCCAAUGCAGCUAAAAAUAAAUAAAUAAAUUAAUUAAAAAAUCAUUAAAUUAAAUUAAAUUUAAGAAAAACAAUACAACAGAUCCAUUUGUCAAGCUGCAAUCCUUCCCACACCCCAGCCUCUACCCCUGCCUCAGCAAACUUAAAAAAUAAUGGAACUGUUAUAAAGUUCAGUAGAUUCCCAAUAGGGUAAUGCCCUAGGAAGAGAACAUAAAUAGAAUCUGAUAUAUCUGUCUCAAAUGGUUUUACUGAAUUAUGCC